RNAcentral lists this transfer RNA (74 nucleotides) under Oceanobacillus profundus. It matches the Rfam family "tRNA". Rfam says of the family: Transfer RNA (tRNA) molecules are approximately 80 nucleotides in length. Their secondary structure includes four short double-helical elements and three loops (D, anti-codon, and T loops). Further hydrogen bonds mediate the characteristic L-shaped molecular structure. tRNAs have two regions of fundamental functional importance: the anti-codon, which is responsible for specific mRNA codon recognition, and the 3' end, to which the tRNAs corresponding amino acid is attached (by aminoacyl-tRNA synthetases). tRNAs cope with the degeneracy of the genetic code in two manners: having more than one tRNA (with a specific anti-codon) for a particular amino acid; and 'wobble' base-pairing, i.e. permitting non-standard base-pairing at the 3rd anti-codon position. RNAcentral also lists the same sequence under 5 other names. Lineage: Bacteria; Bacillati; Bacillota; Bacilli; Caryophanales; Bacillaceae. The record is from Rfam by way of RNAcentral.
GCGCCCUUAGCUCAGUAGGAUAGAGCAACAGCCUUCUAAGCUGUGGGUCAGAGGUUCGAAUCCUCUAGGGCGCG